This 293-nucleotide ribosomal RNA is filed under the name uncultured prokaryote. RNAcentral's name for it is "partial 16S ribosomal RNA". It matches the Rfam family "Archaeal small subunit ribosomal RNA", at positions 455 to 747 of the family's 1478-position model. The record is from RNAcentral.
GUGCCAGCAGCCGCGGUAAUACCGGCAGCCCAAGUGAUGGCCGAUCUUAUUGGGCCUAAAGCGUCCGUAGCUGGCCACGCAAGUCCAUCGGGAAAUCCACCCGCCCAACGGGUGGGCGUCCGGUGGAAACUGUGCGGCUUGGGACCGGAAGGCGCGACGGGUACGUCCGGGGUAGGAGUGAAAUCCCGUAAUCCUGGACGGACCGCCGAUGGCGAAAGCACGUCGCGAGGACGGAUCCGACAGUGAGGGACGAAAGCCAGGGUCUCGAACCGGAUUAGAAACCCCAGUAGUCC